RNAcentral lists this ribosomal RNA (597 nucleotides) under Naganishia liquefaciens. Its description in RNAcentral is "partial large subunit ribosomal RNA". It matches the Rfam family "Eukaryotic large subunit ribosomal RNA", at positions 62 to 663 of the family's 3401-position model. Lineage: Eukaryota; Fungi; Basidiomycota; Tremellomycetes; Filobasidiales; Filobasidiaceae. The record is from RNAcentral.
AAACUAACAAGGAUUCCCCUAGUAACGGCGAGUGAAGCGGGAAGAGCUCAAAUUUGAAAUCUAGUAGCCUUCGGCUGCUCGAGUUGUAAUCUAGAGAAGUGUUUUCCGUGCCGGCCCAUGUACAAGUCCCUUGGAACAGGGCGUCAUAGAGGGUGAGAAUCCCGUCCUUGACAUGGACCCCCGGUGCUCUGUGAUACACUUUCAACGAGUCGAGUUGUUUGGGAAUGCAGCUCAAAAUGGGUGGUGAAUUCCAUCUAAAGCUAAAUAUUGGCGAGAGACCGAUAGCGAACAAGUACCGUGAGGGAAAGAUGAAAAGCACUUUGGAAAGAGAGUUAAACAGUACGUGAAAUUGUUGAAAGGGAAACGAUUGAAGUCAGUCAUGCUCUUUGGUAUUUAUAUCAUUGAGUGGGGUCAACAUCAGUUUUGAUCGAUGGAUAAAGGCACUAGGAAGGUAGCACUCUCGGGUGAACUUAUAGCCUAGCGUCAUAUACAUUGAUUGGGACUGAGGAACGCAGCAUGCCUUUAUGGCCGGGAUUCGUCCACGUACAUGCUUAGGAUGUUGACAUAAUGGCUUUAAACGACCCGUCUUGAAACACG